Molecule: ribosomal RNA, 253 nt
Filed under: uncultured bacterium
Lineage: Bacteria
Description: partial 16S ribosomal RNA
Rfam family: Bacterial small subunit ribosomal RNA
Source: RNAcentral
UACGGGGGGGGCAAGCGUUGUUCGGAAUUACUGGGCGUAAAGGGCUCGUAGGCGGCCAACUAAGUCAGACGUGAAAUCCCUCGGCUUAACCGGGGAACUGCGUCUGAUACUGGAUGGCUAGAGGUUGGGAGAGGGAUGCGGAAUUCCAGGUGUAGCGGUGAAAUGCGCAGAUAUCAGGAGGAACACCGAUGGCGAAGGCAGGUCUCUGGGCAUUAACUGACGCUGAGGAGCGAAAGCGUGGGGAGCGAACAGG